UACAGAGGGUGCAAGCGUUAAUCGGAAUUACUGGGCGUAAAGCGCGCGUAGGUGGUUUGUUAAGUUGGAUGUGAAAGCCCCGGGCUCAACCUGGGAACUGCAUCCAAAACUGGCAAGCUAGAGUAUGGGAGAGGAUGGUAGAAUUCCAGGUGUAGCGGUGAAAUGCGUAGAGAUCUGGAGGAAUACCGAUGGCGAAGGCGACCACCUGGACUGAUACUGACACUGAGGUGCGAAAGCGUGGGGAGCAAACAGG
RNAcentral lists this unclassified non-coding RNA (253 nucleotides) under uncultured Pseudomonadaceae bacterium. RNAcentral describes it as "contains 16S-23S intergenic spacer region". It matches the Rfam family "Bacterial small subunit ribosomal RNA", at positions 524 to 776 of the family's 1533-position model. Lineage: Bacteria; Pseudomonadati; Pseudomonadota; Gammaproteobacteria; Pseudomonadales; Pseudomonadaceae. The record is from RNAcentral.